This 491-nucleotide ribosomal RNA is filed under the name uncultured bacterium. RNAcentral describes it as "partial 16S ribosomal RNA". It matches the Rfam family "Bacterial small subunit ribosomal RNA", at positions 29 to 507 of the family's 1533-position model. The record is from RNAcentral.
AGUGAACGCUGGCGGUAGGCCUAACACAUGCAAGUCGAACGGCAGCACAGUAAGAGCUUGCUCUUACGGGUGGCGAGUGGCGGACGGGUGAGGAAUACAUCGGAAUCUACUUUUUCGUGGGGGAUAACGUAGGGAAACUUACGCUAAUACCGCAUACGACCUACGGGUGAAAGCAGGGGAUCUUCGGACCUUGCGCGAUUGAAUGAGCCGAUGUCGGAUUAGCUAGUUGGCGGGGUAAAGGCCCACCAAGGCGACGAUCCGUAGCUGGUCUGAGAGGAUGGUCAGCCACACUGGAACUGAGACACGGUCCAGACUCCUACGGGAGGCAGCAGUGGGAAUAUUGGACAAUGGGCGCAAGCCUGAUCCAGCCAUACCGCGUGGGUGAAGAAGGCCUUCGGGUUGUAAAGCCCUUUUGUUGGGAAAGAAAAGCAGCAGGUUAAUACCCCGCUGUUCUGACGGUACCCAAAGAAUAAGCACCGGCUAACUUCGUG